CUUCAGUGAUGAUACGAUGACGAGUCGGAAGAGGACACGGUCUGGUUCUGUGGGUUACUGGACCAGGUCCACGUUCUGUGGUUCUGGUGUGGUUCCUCAGGCCGGGGUGUCCUUUUCAGUUGAAGACAUAGAGGCAUUUGUCUGAGAAGG
This is a small nucleolar RNA of Myripristis murdjan (pinecone soldierfish), 150 nucleotides long. The record is from RefSeq and is a predicted model, not a curated record. Lineage: Eukaryota; Metazoa; Chordata; Actinopteri; Holocentriformes; Holocentridae.